AGUGAACGAACCGCUGGUGUUCGGGUUGUCAUGCCAAUGGCAUUGCCCGGUAGCUAUGUUCGGAAUCGAUAACCGCUGAAAGCAUCUAAGCGGGAAGCGAGCCCCAAGAUGAGUCAUCCCUUGGACUUUAAGUCCACUAAAGAGCCGUUCGAGACUAGGACGUUGAUAGGUCAGGUGUGUAAGCGUUGUGAGGCGUUGAGCUAACUGAUACUAAUGACUCGAGAGGCUUAACCAUACAACCCAGAUGGGUUUU
Molecule: ribosomal RNA, 253 nt
Filed under: Shewanella sp. BC20
Lineage: Bacteria; Pseudomonadati; Pseudomonadota; Gammaproteobacteria; Alteromonadales; Shewanellaceae
Description: partial 23S ribosomal RNA
Rfam family: Bacterial large subunit ribosomal RNA
Source: RNAcentral